UACGUAGGGGGCAAGCGUUGUCCGGAUUUAUUGGGCGUAAAGAGCGUGUAGGCGGCCGUACAGGUCAGCUGUGAAAACUCGAGGCUCAACCUCGAGACGUCGGUUGAAACCGUACGGCUAGAGUCCGGAAGAGGAGAGUGGAAUUCCCGGUGCAGCGGUGAAAUGCGCAGAUAUCGGGAAGAACACCCGUGGCGAAGGCGGCUCUCUGGGACGGUACUGACGCUGAGACGCGAAAGCGUGGGGAGCGAACAGG
This 253-nucleotide ribosomal RNA is filed under the name uncultured bacterium. RNAcentral describes it as "partial 16S ribosomal RNA". It matches the Rfam family "Bacterial small subunit ribosomal RNA", at positions 524 to 776 of the family's 1533-position model. The record is from RNAcentral.